GAACGCACAUUGCGCCCCUUGGUAUUCCGGGGGGCAUGCCUGUUCGAGCGUCAUUAUAACCCCUCAAGCUCAGCUUGGUGUUGGGGCCUGCCAGCUGGCAGCCCUUAAAAUCAGUGGCGGCGCCAUCUGGCUCUAAGCGUAGUAAUUUCUCUCGCUAUAGGGUCCCGGUGGACGCUGGCCAGCAACCCCCAAUUUUUUAAUGGUUGACCUCGGAUCAGGUAGGGAUACCCGCUGAACUUAAG
RNAcentral lists this unclassified non-coding RNA (242 nucleotides) under Helicodendron luteoalbum. RNAcentral describes it as "sequence contains 5.8S rRNA gene". The stretch from base 1 to 53 matches the Rfam family "5.8S ribosomal RNA", at positions 102 to 154 of the family's 154-position model. The record is from RNAcentral. Lineage: Eukaryota; Fungi; Ascomycota; Leotiomycetes; Helotiales; Helotiaceae.